UGAGGAAUAUUGGUCAAUGGGCGAGAGCCUGAUGCAGCAACGCCGCGUGAACGAUGAAGGUCUUCGGAUCGUAAAGUUCUGUUGCAGGGGAAGAUAAUGACGGUACCCUGUGAGGAAGCCCCGGCUAACUACGUGCCAGCAGCCGCGGUAAUACGUAGGGGGCUAGCGUUAUCCGGAUUUACUGGGCGUAAAGGGUGCGUAGGUGGUCUUUCAAGUCGGUGGUUAAAGGCUACGGCUCAACCGUAGUUAGCCUCCGAAACUGGAAGACUUGAGUGCAGGAGAGGAAAGUGGAAUUCCCAGUGUAGCGGUGAAAUGCGUAGAUAUUGGGAGGAACACCAGUAGCGAAGGCGGCUUUCUGGACUGCAACUGACACUGAGGCACGAAAGCGUGGGUAGCAAACAGG
RNAcentral lists this ribosomal RNA (403 nucleotides) under Verrucomicrobiota bacterium. RNAcentral describes it as "Verrucomicrobia bacterium partial 16S ribosomal RNA". It matches the Rfam family "Bacterial small subunit ribosomal RNA", at positions 355 to 776 of the family's 1533-position model. Lineage: Bacteria; Pseudomonadati; Verrucomicrobiota. The record is from RNAcentral.